Molecule: ribosomal RNA, 486 nt
Filed under: uncultured bacterium
Lineage: Bacteria
Description: partial 16S ribosomal RNA
Rfam family: Bacterial small subunit ribosomal RNA
Source: RNAcentral
GACGAACGCUGGCGGCGUGCUUAACACAUGCAAGUCGAACGGAAAGGCCCCCAUCUUGGUGGGGGUGCUCGAGUGGCGAACGGGUGAGUAACACGUGGGUGAUCUGCCCUGUACUUCGGGAUAAGCUUGUGAAACUGGGUCUAAUACCGGAUAGGACCAUGGUUUAGUGUCUCAUGGUGGAAAGUUUAUUGUUUUGGUGCAGGAUGAGCUCGCGGCCUAUCAGCUUGUUGGUGGGGUAAUGGCCUACCAAGGCGUCGACGGGUAGCCGGCCUGAGAGGGUGGACGGAGAGAUUGGGAGUGAGAUACGGGCCAGACUGCUAGGGGAGACAGCAGUGGGGAAUAGUGGACGAUGAGCGCACGCAUGAGGCAGAAACGUCGCGUAGGGGAUCACGGUCUUGGAGUUGUACACUCCUUUCGUAAGGGGCGAAGGCACGCUAUUUAGGUGUAGUGACGGUAACUGUGUAAAGAAGCACCGGCAAACUACGU